Molecule: ribosomal RNA, 762 nt
Filed under: uncultured marine haptophyte
Lineage: Eukaryota; Haptophyta
Description: bacterial SSU rRNA
Rfam family: Bacterial small subunit ribosomal RNA
Source: RNAcentral
UAUCCGGAAUCAUUGGGCGUAAAGCGUCUGUAGGUUGUUUAAUAAGUCUGUUGUUAAAGACUAGGGCUCAACCCUAGAAAAGCAAUGGAAACUACUAGACUUGAGUAUGGCAGGGGUAGAGGGAAUUUCUAGUGUAGCGGUGAAAUGCGUAGAUAUUAGAAAGAACACCAGCGGCGAAAGCGCUCUACUGGACCAUUACUGACACUCAGAGACGAAAGCUAGGGUAGCAAAAGGGAUUAGAUACCCCUGUAGUCCUAGCCGUAAACGAUGGAUACUAGAUGUUGUGUUUAAUAUGCAGUAUCGUAGCUAACGCGUUAAGUAUCCCGCCUGGGGAGUACGCUCGCAAGGGUGAAACUCAAAGGAAUUGACGGGGGCCCGCACAAGCGGUGGAGCAUGUGGUUUAAUUCGAUGCAACGCGAAGAACCUUACCAGGACUUGACAUACUACAAAUUUCUUUGAAAAAAGGAAGUGCCUUCGGGAAUGUAGAUACAGGUGGUGCAUGGCUGUCGUCAGCUCGUGUCGUGAGAUGUUGGGUUAAGUCCCGCAACGAGCGCAACCCUUAUUUUUAGUUACUAAUUAAUUAGGCUUUCUAGAAAGACUGCCGGUGACAAACCGGAGGAAGGUGAGGAUGACGUCAAGUCAGCAUGCCCCUUAUGUCCUGGGCUACACACGUGCUACAAUGGUUAAAACAAAGGGUCGCGAGCUCGUGAGAGUCAGCUAAUCCCAUAAAUUUAGCCUAAGUUCAGAUUGUAGGCUGCAACU